This 197-nucleotide ribosomal RNA is filed under the name uncultured bacterium. Its description in RNAcentral is "partial 16S ribosomal RNA". It matches the Rfam family "Bacterial small subunit ribosomal RNA", at positions 328 to 539 of the family's 1533-position model. The record is from RNAcentral.
ACGCUCGACACCUACGGGGGCAGCAGUGGGGAAUAUUGCACAAUGGGGGAAACCCUGAUGCAGCGACGCCGCGUGGAGGAAGAAGGUCUUCGGAUUGUAAACUCCUGUUGUUGGGGAAAAAGAGGAUGGUACCCAACAAGGAAGUGACGGCUAACUACGUGACAGCAGCCGCGGUAAUCUGAGCGGGCUGGCAAGGC